RNAcentral lists this ribosomal RNA (245 nucleotides) under uncultured bacterium. RNAcentral describes it as "partial 16S ribosomal RNA". It matches the Rfam family "Bacterial small subunit ribosomal RNA", at positions 524 to 768 of the family's 1533-position model. The record is from RNAcentral.
UACAGAGACCUCAAACGUUGUCCGGAUUUAUUGGGCGUAAAGGGUCCGCAGGUGGCUCGGUGCGUCUUGCGUUAAAUGUCGGGGCUCAACUUCGACACCGCGCGAGAUACGAUCGAGCUAGAGGCUGGGAGAGGCACACGGAAUUGCCGGUGUAGUAGUAAUAUGCGUUAAUAUCGGCAAGAACACCAAAUGCGAAGGCAGUGUGCUGGAACAGUUCUGACACUCAGGGACGAAAGCGUGGGGAG